Molecule: ribosomal RNA, 1159 nt
Filed under: Latilactobacillus sakei
Lineage: Bacteria; Bacillati; Bacillota; Bacilli; Lactobacillales; Lactobacillaceae
Description: bacterial SSU rRNA
Rfam family: Bacterial small subunit ribosomal RNA
Source: RNAcentral
CCGGGGCCUAUACAUGCAAGUCGAACGCACUCUCGUUUAGAUUGAAGGAGCUUGCUCCUGAUUGAUAAACAUUUGAGUGAGUGGCGGACGGGUGAGUAACACGUGGGUAACCUGCCCUAAAGUGGGGGAUAACAUUUGGAAACAGAUGCUAAUACCGCAUAAAACCUAACACCGCAUGGUGUAGGGUUGAAAGAUGGUUUCGGCUAUCACUUUAGGAUGGACCCGCGGUGCAUUAGUUAGUUGGUGAGGUAAAGGCUCACCAAGACCGUGAUGCAUAGCCGACCUGAGAGGGUAAUCGGCCACACUGGGACUGAGACACGGCCCAGACUCCUACGGGAGGCAGCAGUAGGGAAUCUUCCACAAUGGACGAAAGUCUGAUGGAGCAACGCCGCGUGAGUGAAGAAGGUUUUCGGAUCGUAAAACUCUGUUGUUGGAGAAGAAUGUAUCUGAUAGUAACUGAUCAGGUAGUGACGGUAUCCAACCAGAAAGCCACGGCUAACUACGUGCCAGCAGCCGCGGUAAUACGUAGGUGGCAAGCGUUGUCCGGAUUUAUUGGGCGUAAAGCGAGCGCAGGCGGUUUCUUAAGUCUGAUGUGAAAGCCUUCGGCUCAACCGAAGAAGUGCAUCGGAAACUGGGAAACUUGAGUGCAGAAGAGGACAGUGGAACUCCAUGUGUAGCGGUGAAAUGCGUAGAUAUAUGGAAGAACACCAGUGGCGAAGGCGGCUGUCUGGUCUGUAACUGACGCUGAGGCUCGAAAGCAUGGGUAGCAAACAGGAUUAGAUACCCUGGUAGUCCAUGCCGUAAACGAUGAGUGCUAGGUGUUGGAGGGUUUCCGCCCUUCAGUGCCGCAGCUAACGCAUUAAGCACUCCGCCUGGGGAGUACGACCGCAAGGUUGAAACUCAAAGGAAUUGACGGGGGCCCGCACAAGCGGUGGAGCAUGUGGUUUAAUUCGAAGCAACGCGAAGAACCUUACCAGGUCUUGACAUCCUUUGACCACUCUAGAGAUAGAGCUUUCCCUUCGGGGACAAAGUGACAGGUGGUGCAGGGUUGUCGUCAGCUCCGGUCGUGAGAGGUUGGGUUAGUCCCGCAACGAGCCCACCCUUUUUACUAGUUGCCAGCUUUAGUUGGGCACUCUAGUGGAACUGCCGGUGAAAAACC